GAUGAACGCUGGCGGCGUGCCUAAUACAUGCAAGUCGAACGCUGAAGGAAGGAGCUUGCUCUUUCCGGAUGAGUUGCGAACGGGUGAGUAACGCGUAGGUAACCUGCCUGGUAGCGGGGGAUAACUAUUGGAAACGAUAGCUAAUACCGCAUAACAGUAGAUGUUGCAUGAUAUCUACUUAAAAGGUGCAAUUGCACCACUACCAGAUGGACCUGCGUUGUAUUAGCUAGUUGGUGAGGUAACGGCUCACCAAGGCGACGAUACAUAGCCGACCUGAGAGGGUGAUCGGCCACACUGGGACUGAGACACGGCCCAGACUCCUACGGGAGGCAGCAGUAGGGAAUCUUCGGCAAUGGACGGAAGUCUGAACGAGCAACGCCGCGUGAGUGAAGAAGGUUUUCGGAUCGUAAAGAUCUGUUGUAAGAGAAGAACGAGUGUGAGAGUGGAAAGUUCACACUGUGACGGUAUCUUACCAGAAAGGGACGGCUAACUACGUG
Molecule: ribosomal RNA, 497 nt
Filed under: uncultured bacterium
Lineage: Bacteria
Description: partial 16S ribosomal RNA
Rfam family: Bacterial small subunit ribosomal RNA
Source: RNAcentral